CGGCGGGCGGAAGGCAUCACUUUGUCCGGACUCUAAUUCAAAUUGUAUUCAUCCGAUCUUCACCAAACUUGGUCAGCAGUUGCAUCUAGUUGAUAUCUAGGCCAAGUUCGAAUAUGGGUCAUGCCGGAUCAAAAACUAGGUCAUAGGGUCAAUAAGUUCAUUUUCAAAGGGGCCACUUUGUCAGGACUCUAUUUCAAAUUGUAUUCAUCCGAUCUUCACCAAACUUGGUCAGCAGUUGCAUCUAGUUGAUAUAUAGGCCAAGUUCGAAUAUGGGUCAUGCCGGGUCAAAAACUAGGUCAUAGGGUCAAUUAGUGCAUUUUCAACGGCGCCACUUUGUCCGGACUCUAAUUCAAAUUGUAUUCAUCCGAUCUUCACCAAACUUGGUCAGUAGUUGCAUCUAGUUGAUAUCUAGGUCAAGUUCGAAUAUGGGUCAUGUCGGGUCAAGAACUAGGUCAUAGGGUCAAUUAGUGCAUUUUCAACGGCGCUACUUUGUCCGGACUCUAAUUCAAAUUGUAUUCAUCCGAAACUUUUAAACAACUUUUUAUCCUGCGUCAAAGUGGUAUGGGGGUAUAAGUCACAUUCAGUGACAAAGCUCUAGUUCAAGUUGAAUUCACCAAACUUGGUCAGAGGUAGUAUAUAGAUUAUAUAUCAGUCAGGUCUGAUUGGAGACAUGCAACCGAUUAACACAUGCAAUAUUUUUAUGCAAUAUUUUUAUCCAGUUUUAUUUUGCGAUAUUUUCAUCGGGUUUAUUUUUUUCGCGAUUUUUGAAAUUUUUUUUUGCUUAUUUCCAAAACAAAUACAUCAAUCAUCAGUGUAUCAUCUCCAAUGGCACACGAAUCGGGCGUAUAUUGCUCCGUCAUGCGGCGCUCUUGUUUUAUUUAAUGUUGUUUGUUGCUAACUUGGUAAGUCUUAGAAGUCUGUCUUAAGUGUAUAACAAAUAAUGUUUAACUUUGUUCUUUGAACACUAUGCAUUUUAAAAAUCAAUAUAAGAGACAUUGUUUUUUUUUACUUAAAUGACAUUUUUUAGAAUGUGAUUAAUUACAUGUAUAACAAUAAAUCUAUUUAUUUCUGUUUGCUAUUUUAGUGGCUCGGAUAGAAUUUAUUGUCGCCUACCGGUGAAACCGAAGGGGACUUAAGGUUUGCGCUCCAUGUGUCAGUCAGUCUGUCAGUCUGUCACACUUUUCUGGUUUCUGCGAUAACUUUAAAAGUUCUUCAUAUUUUUUCAUGAAACUUGAAACUUGGAUAGAUGGCAAUAUGGAGAAUUCUGGUUGCUAUGGCAACAAAUAUUUAAAAAAAUAAUUAUUUUUUUUACUAACAAUGGUGGAGUUUAACCGGUAGGGGACAAUAUUGCUUGGCAAACUCUUGUUAUUUGGAAAACUUAUUCAAUAAUAAUAAUAUCUGCUAUUCUAUUAUUAAUGGAUAGUUUUCACAUUAAAUCAAUUUUUUAAUUAAUUUGUAUCAUUUUAAAAUUUGUAUGAUUGUUUUCAAUCACUUGGCGCUUGCUAUGCUUAUGAUAAUUUUGUAUGGAGCGUCUAGAUGAUACAGAGUAAUGAAUAACCAAUUAUGUCCCAGAGGGGGAUAGGGUAUUCAGGUUUAUGUGAAAUAAUAAUUCCUAAGAUAACUCAUUGAAAAGUCAUUCCAGACUUUAAAUAGUAAUUUUGAAAGUAUCUAUAAUAUUGGGCUGCAAAGUGGGACAGGGAUUUAAAGUAAUUUCCUUUAUUUGAAUUUUUGUUGUAUUCGUAACACUGUUUUACCCUAUCAUGAAUUUCCAGAAACUCACAUCAAAUGUUAAGGUCAUGAACAGAAGUCCAUGGGGAAUUAGUCAAGCCAGGUUAAGGUCAAAGUCAUACUUUAAUGAUAAUAGCCUCUCUAUUGUUGUGUCUGAUUCAGCUUUCGAAUACCAUUUGAAGCAUUUACAUUAAGUUAAGAUGAUUUAAGGUCAAUGAAGUCAAUGAGAGAUGUGCACAAGGUCAAAGGUGUGGGCCCAGUCGUUCUCUUCUAUAACCAUGAAAGGAUGUUUAUGAAAAAUUAAUGUCAUGGUAACAAAUUCAGAAGUAGACAAAUCACUGAAACUAAAGGUCCAGAUCACAACAUGAAGGUCAGAAGUAUUGCAGACCGGGAAUAAUCUUUUUGUGGACACUUACAUUUGUGGACUUCAAAUUUUUUGGGAAAAAAAAGGAAUUUGGUAUUGGUCAUUUUCCAAUGUGUUUGUGUACAAUUCCUUGAUUGGUCAAUAUGAAAGUAAUUCAUAAAGCAGAAGACAAGUGUGUAAUCCUCAUCCUGAUUUGAAAAAAAAUAUGAGUGAAAGAU
Long non-coding RNA from Dreissena polymorpha, 2310 nucleotides. RefSeq lists it as uncharacterized. The transcript is spliced from 2 exons. NCBI's taxonomy places the organism in Eukaryota, Metazoa, Mollusca, Bivalvia, Myida, Dreissenidae. The record is from RefSeq and is a predicted model, not a curated record.